This 389-nucleotide long non-coding RNA is filed under the name Chinchilla lanigera (long-tailed chinchilla). RNAcentral describes it as "lncRNA (ENSCLAG00000022679.1)". Lineage: Eukaryota; Metazoa; Chordata; Mammalia; Rodentia; Chinchillidae. The record is from RNAcentral.
AUGAGGAGAAAAAUAUCCACCAGUAGCAGUCAUUUAGUUCAGAAUUCAGCCUCUGUGCUGGGUCCCCAGUUGCCAGAUGGAAGCAAUCAUCCAACAGUUUGCCAAAGAGGAAGGGAUACUGCUCAGUUCAAGCAGGUGCAUGGUCAGGAAGCUGCCUUCUGGUGGUUCAUUUAUUCAUCAUUUCCCUACAUAUUCCUGAGCACCUUCAACGGAACAGACAUUACACCAAGUGCUGGACAUACAAAGAUAAAUAAUGCAUGUGUGCUGCUUCCAGCAGCUCGUUGCCUUCUCAGAGAUCUCGCUGCAGGUUAGCAAAUGUGAUGACCAGCUGACAGGUAUUCUGGGCCCUGUGGCAAUGAUUUUCUACAUUGUGUUUUAACAAAAUAAAG